UCCGGUUUGUCACCGGCAGUCUCCUUAGAGUGCCUAACUGAAUGCUGGCAACUAAGAACAAGGGUUGCGCUCGUUGCGGGACUUAACCCAACACCUCACGGCACGAGCUGACGACAGCCAUGCACCACCUGUGAAGGUGCCCCGAAGGGAGACCGUGUUUCCACGGCUGUCACCAACAUGUCAAGCCCUGGUAAGGUUCUUCGCGUUGCGUCGAAUUAAGCCACAUGCUCCGCCGCUUGUGCGGGCCCCCGUCAAUUCCUUUAAGUUUUAAUCUUGCGACCGUACUCCCCAGGCGGGGUGCUUAAUGCGUUAGCUGCGCCACCAACGAGCAAGCCCGCUGACAGCUAGCACCCAUAGUUUACGGCGUGGACUAC
RNAcentral lists this unclassified non-coding RNA (374 nucleotides) under uncultured bacterium. Its description in RNAcentral is "contains 16S-23S intergenic spacer region". The record is from RNAcentral.